GGGACAGAGGAAACAGCUCAAUGGUGGUUGGUUGUACCUCCUGCAACCUUGGAACACAAGAGAAAAAAAAGAACUAGAACAAGCUACAAUGGGAGCUAGGAGCUGAAAAGUAGUCUGAAACCAGGGAGCUCAUGCUAGCGGCAAGACAACUCUCGUCUUGAUCACCAUCACAAAGUGGGCGGAACCUUGCUGCUAUAACAAAUACUUUGCCGCAUUUCUCCCGAGGGUUUCGA
Long non-coding RNA from Ixodes scapularis (black-legged tick), 233 nucleotides. RefSeq lists it as uncharacterized. The transcript has 3 exons. The record is from RefSeq and is a predicted model, not a curated record. Lineage: Eukaryota; Metazoa; Arthropoda; Arachnida; Ixodida; Ixodidae.